This 431-nucleotide ribosomal RNA is filed under the name Hydrothelphusa goudoti. RNAcentral's name for it is "partial 16S ribosomal RNA". The stretch from base 306 to 431 matches the Rfam family "Bacterial large subunit ribosomal RNA", at positions 2473 to 2599 of the family's 2925-position model. The record is from RNAcentral. Lineage: Eukaryota; Metazoa; Arthropoda; Malacostraca; Decapoda; Deckeniidae.
UUUUUAUUGAAAUCUCGUAUGAAUGGUUGGACAAAAGAAAUACUGUCUUUAUAUUAAAAAUUGAAUUUAACUUUUAAGUGAAAAGGCUUAAAUGUCCCAGAAAGACGAUAAGACCCUAUAAAACUUUACAUUUAAAUUAGUUUCUUAUCGAAUUUGAAAGAAAAUAAAGAUUUGAUUUAAUUAUUUUGUGUUGGUGGGGAGACAAUAGUAAAUUUUUUUUUAACCGCUAAACUAUUACACAGUGGUAUGCGUGUAAAUAAAUUAAUAGAUCCUUUUUAAAGACUUAAAGAUUAAGUUACUUUAGGGAUAACAGCGUUAUUUCUUUUGAGAGUCCAUAUCGAAAGGGGAGAUUGCGACCUCGAUGUUGAAUUAAAAUAUCUUUAUAAUGCAGCUGUUAUAAAAGAAAGUCUGUUCGACUUUUAAAUUUUUAC